AGGAGAUCAAAAGAACUUACUACGUGUGGUAAAUAGGAAGGACCAAGUUUUGAGGAGGCGCACGAUUCCUUAUGUAAAGGUGCAGUGGAGCAAUUACAGUAAGAGAGAAGCCACCUGGGAGCUGGAGGAGGAGAUGAGAGAGAAGUUCCCUGCCUUGUUCUUGGAUUGAGGUAUGUUUUAAUUUCGAGGACGAAAUUUCUUUUUAGUUGGUUAGAGUGUGAAGACCCGAACUGAAGUCGGCAAGGAGUGCCGACUUCAGUUGGGUCAUCGUGGUCUGCCCACGAAGACCACGCCGGCCGAACGGCCAGCGGGAUCUCCGCCCCACCCCCCUCUUCCCUCUUCCCUCUCCCUCUCUCUCUCUCUCUCUCCCUCUUUCUCUCCUCUGAGAGCCUCAUCCGAGCCCCAUCCUUUUCCCCAUCCCUCUAAAAAAAAAAAAAAACUUGAGUUUUUCCCCUCAUCUUCUUCCUUUUUUUUGAAAGGAUCGCCGGAGCCACCGUCGCCGCCACCGCCGCCGGGUAUCCUUUCGUCGACGACCGGAGGGGUUCGUGAUAUCUGUGGCAGGAAUUUUUUAAGCGAUCCCAGGUGAUGAUAUGUGACUAUGGGGAUUACGGGGUGGAGUGAUCAUGAUGUAGUUAGCUAGUAGAUAUUGACUUUUUCUUUUGACUUAUGUAUAUAUGGACAUUUCAAUUGAAAGUUGGAAUUUA
Non-coding RNA from Phoenix dactylifera (date palm), 704 nucleotides. The record is from RefSeq and is a predicted model, not a curated record. Lineage: Eukaryota; Viridiplantae; Streptophyta; Magnoliopsida; Arecales; Arecaceae.